Molecule: non-coding RNA, 184 nt
Filed under: Solemya elarraichensis gill symbiont
Lineage: Bacteria; Pseudomonadati; Pseudomonadota; Gammaproteobacteria
Description: 6S / SsrS RNA
Rfam family: 6S / SsrS RNA
About the family: E. coli 6S RNA was the first non coding RNA to be sequenced, but its function was unknown until recently. It consists of 184 nucleotides that fold into an extended hairpin structure with a large single-stranded internal bulge.
Source: Rfam by way of RNAcentral
CAUCCUCUGCGGUGUUCGCUAGCCAACCGGGUAUUUUCUUGAGCCUAAUUGAUACCCCGGGAGCAUGAAGCAGGCGCCGGUGCGCAUGUCCGUCUCGAGCGGAAAGCCUGAAGCGCCGCCGUUGUUCCCACUUGAACCUACUGGUUCAAGAACGAUGGUCAGCAGCGGCACAGGCGGAGGAUGU